GCCAGGCGUGGUGGCACACACCUGUAGUCCCAGAUACUCAGGAGGCUGAAGCAGGAGGAUCACCUGGGACCAGGAGUUCUGGGCUGUAGUACCCUAUGCCAAUGCAGUGUCCACACUAAGUUUGGCAUCAAUUUGGUGACCUCCUGAGGAUGGGAGACCACCAGGUUGCCUAAGGAGGGGUGAACUGGCCCAUGUUGGAAAUGGAGCAGGUCAAAACUCCUGUGUUAAUCACUGGUGGGAUCAUACCUGUGCAUAGCCACUGCACUCCAGCCUGGGCAACAUAGUGAGACCCUAUCUCUU
Unclassified non-coding RNA from Macaca fascicularis (crab-eating macaque), 300 nucleotides. It matches the Rfam family "Metazoan signal recognition particle RNA". Rfam says of the family: The signal recognition particle (SRP) is a universally conserved ribonucleoprotein. It is involved in the co-translational targeting of proteins to membranes. The eukaryotic SRP consists of a 300-nucleotide 7S RNA and six proteins: SRPs 72, 68, 54, 19, 14, and 9. The record is from Ensembl. Lineage: Eukaryota; Metazoa; Chordata; Mammalia; Primates; Cercopithecidae.